UUGUGUUGCAGUAAAGUUGCUCAUUGAAUCCUCUUAGCCUUGUAUUUAAUUUUUUGCAUGGCUUGCUUUUUGUCAAUGUUUAGGUUGUAAGUUGAUUUAUUUGCAUUCCUAUUAAGUACAAAAUUAUCCAAGACGGUACAUAAACUUCUAUUCAGACCUCAGAUUUGCUCUUCCAUGUUCAGGCUGUAUCUUGAAUUUCUUAUUGAUUUAUUUGCGUUUGUGUUAACUACAAAAUUACCCAAGGCGGUGCAUGAACUUCUAUUAAUAAUACCUCACAUUUCCUCUCUAUAAAUGAGAUGUGUGUUUCAUUUUCUUCCCUUCUCAAUUUAGUUACUACAGCUCACAUCAUUUUUUUUCAUACCAUUUGUUUUUUUAGAUCAAAGCCA
This 386-nucleotide long non-coding RNA is filed under the name Brachypodium distachyon (stiff brome). Its description in RNAcentral is "long non-coding RNA (BDIS_LNC005266)". The record is from RNAcentral. Lineage: Eukaryota; Viridiplantae; Streptophyta; Magnoliopsida; Poales; Poaceae.